AGAGGUUAACAGAGAUAAUGUCAGCACCAGCUGCAGAGGUGGCUUUGUGUAUGAGAGAGAUGAGUUUUAACAAAUAAUGACCCGGGGAGGCGUAAGUCUAUAGAGAAAAUAGAGAUUGUAAAGCUAAAGUAGCUCAGAUGAAUCCCAGUCCAGAAAAGGAAGCAUCGAUCAACACAGAUAACAGCAGCUGAGUGAAGCUACAGAGAGUGAAAAGCUCACCUGUCACUGCUGAAGAAAAGGUUCGAACAACAUGGUGAUCCAUCACCAAGUGUCAUCAGGGAAAUGGUUUGCUCAGGUUCCCUCAUCUGAGUUGUGGAUUUCUGCAGCUCCUCCAAAGUUCCCAUGGCCAUUUUUGGCUGCAGGUUGAA
This is a long non-coding RNA of Cyprinodon tularosa, 368 nucleotides long. RefSeq lists it as uncharacterized. The transcript has 3 exons. NCBI's taxonomy places the organism in Eukaryota, Metazoa, Chordata, Actinopteri, Cyprinodontiformes, Cyprinodontidae. The record is from RefSeq and is a predicted model, not a curated record.